This 245-nucleotide ribosomal RNA is filed under the name uncultured bacterium. RNAcentral describes it as "partial 16S ribosomal RNA". It matches the Rfam family "Bacterial small subunit ribosomal RNA", at positions 524 to 768 of the family's 1533-position model. The record is from RNAcentral.
AACGUAGGAUCCGAGCGUUAUCCGAAUUCACUGGGCGUAAAGCGCGAGCAGGCGGUCUGGUAAGUUGGGUGUGAAAACUCCUGGCUCAACUGGGAGAGGACGUUCAAUACUAUCGGACUAGAGGGCAGUAGAGGGAGGUGGAAUUCCCGGUGUAGUGGUGAAAUGCGUAGAUAUCGGGAGGAACACCAGUGGCGAAAGCGGCCUCCUGGGCUGUACCUGACGCUGAGAUGCGAAAGCUAGGGGAG